This 468-nucleotide ribosomal RNA is filed under the name uncultured bacterium. RNAcentral's name for it is "partial 16S ribosomal RNA". It matches the Rfam family "Bacterial small subunit ribosomal RNA", at positions 39 to 507 of the family's 1533-position model. The record is from RNAcentral.
GGGGGGGGGGGGGGGGGGGGGGGGCGGGGGGGGGUCGGGGGGGGGGGGCGUGCUGGGGGGGGGUGCUGGGGGGGCGGGCGGGUGGGGAACGCGUGGGUAACCGGCCCUUGCCUGUGGGAUGACGUCAGGACGCUGGGGCUCCUCCCGGAUGGGCGCUCCUGCGGCCUGGUGGGGGUUGGCAAGCUUCGGCGGUUGGGGAUGUACUCGCGGCUCCUCAGCGUGUUGGUGGGGUAGUGUCCUACCAAGGCUUUGACCGGUAGCCGGCCUGAGAGGGUGAGCGGCCAAAUUGGGACUGGAAUACGGCCCAGACUCCUACGGGAGGCAGCAGUGGGGAAGAUUGCACAAUGGGCGGAAGCCUGAUGCAGCAACGCCGCGUGCGGGAUGACGGCCUUCGGGUUGUAAACCGCUUUCGCCUGUGACGAAGCGUGAGUGACGGUAAUGGGUGAAGAAGCACCGGCUAACUACGUG